GGUUUGAUUAUGGCUCAGAUUGAACGCUGGCGGGAUGUUUACACAUGCAAGUCGAACGGCAGCACGGACUUCCCGGUCUGGUGGCGAGUGGCGAACGGGUGAGUAAUGUAUCGGAACGUGUCGCAGGCGAUAACUACGCGAAAGCGUAGCUAAUACCGCAUACGCCCUUCGGGGAAAGCGGGGACCUUCGGCCCGCACUAUUAGAAGGCCGAUAUCGGAUUAGCUAGUUGGUGGGGUAACGGCUCACCAAGGCGACGAUCCGUAGCUGGUUUGAGAGGACGACCAGCCACACUGGGACUGAGACACGGCCCAGACUCACGGGAGGCAGCAGUGGGGAAUUUUGGACAAUGGGGGAAACCCCGAUCCAGCCAUCCCGCGUGUGCGAUGAAGGCCUUCGGGUUGUAAAGCACUUUUGGCAGGAAAGAAACGGCACGGGAUAAUACCCCGCGCAACCGACGGUACCUGCAGAAUAAGCACCUCGGCUAACUACGUGCCAGCAGCCGCGGUAAUACGUAGGUGCAUGUUAUUCCGAACGCGAUUGGGCGGCAUGCGCAGGCGGUUCGGAAAGAAGAUGUGAAAUCCCAGAGCUGCACUUUGGAACUGCAUUUCUUUAACUAAUGAGCCAGAGUGUGUCAGAGGGAGUGGAAUUCCGCGUGUAGCAGUGAAAUGCGUAGAUAUGCGGAGGAACACCGAUGGCGAAGGCAGCCUCCUGGGAUAACACUGACGCUCAUGCACGAAAGCGUGGGAGCAAACAGGAUUAGAUACUCCUGGUAGUCCACGCCCUAAACGAUGUCAACUAGCUGUUGGGGCCUUCGGGCCUUGAAGCGCAGCUAACGCGUAUGAAGUUGACCGCCUGGGGAGUACGGUCGCAGAUUAAAACUCAAAGGAAUUGACGGGGACCCGCACAAGCGGUGGAUGAUGUGGAUUAAUUGAUGCAACGCGAAAAACCUUACCUACCUCAUGUCUGAAUCCCGAAGAGAUUUGGGGAGUGCUCGCAAGAGAACUGGAACACAGGUGCUGCAUGGCUGUCGUCAGCUCGUGUCGUGAGAUGUUGGGUUAAGUCCUGCAACGAGCGCAACCCUUGUCAUUAGUUAAGCGCGAAAGGGCACUCCAUCGAGACUGCCGGUGACAAACCGGAGGAAGGUGGGGAUGACGUCAAGUCCCCGCGGCCCUUAUGGGUAGGGCUUCAACACGUCAUACAAUGGUCGGGACAGAGGGUCGCCAACCCGCGAGGUGGGGAGCUAACCUAGAAACCCGAUCGUAGUCCGGACUGCAGUCUGCAACUGACUGGUGUGAAGUCGGAAUCGCUAGUAAUCGCGGAUCAGCAUGUCGCGGUGAAUACGUUCCUGGUCUUGUACACACCGCCCGUCACACCAUGGGAGUGGGCUUUACCAGAAGUAGUUAGCCUAACCGUAAGGAGGGCGAUUACCACGGUAGGAUUCAUGACUGGGGUGAAGUCGUAACAAGGUAG
Molecule: ribosomal RNA, 1471 nt
Filed under: uncultured Bordetella sp.
Lineage: Bacteria; Pseudomonadati; Pseudomonadota; Betaproteobacteria; Burkholderiales; Alcaligenaceae
Description: partial 16S-23S ribosomal RNA intergenic spacer
Rfam family: Bacterial small subunit ribosomal RNA
Source: RNAcentral